This 8874-nucleotide unclassified non-coding RNA is filed under the name Haliotis rufescens (red abalone). Its description in RNAcentral is "uncharacterized LOC124134174, transcript variant X1". Lineage: Eukaryota; Metazoa; Mollusca; Gastropoda; Lepetellida; Haliotidae. The record is from RNAcentral.
UCAUGGUAUAGCGGCGUCACGUGAUAUGUCCCCGGUAACAUCGACAUGUGCAGUAACAAAGUUGAUUAAAGAUGACGAUGAUGAACUAGAAUGAUGAAUGGUGAAGCUGGGUCCUUGGGUCACUCUGGGGCCAGCCAGGCACAACACAGCUGUGCUCUCCCCUCUCCUACAGAUGGCAGCACCGCAGAUGUUAAUAGGUGUACAAAGGAGGACAGACCAGAUCAGCUUAUGUUCAAACAGUGCCAGGAAUCUGUGAACAGUGUUGUAAAACAUGAUGGAGCUGUGUUCACUGGACCGUCUCCUCCCUUGAUCUGUAAUGGUGGUACUCGGUGUCAAGAUCACAGUGAUGCAAAGUCUCCUGACAAAAGGGUACGACAGCUUUCUGCUGUCUGUAGAAGCCAUGAUGUGGUAGAGGAUGGUGUAAAUCCAUCAGGUAAAGAUGAAAAGCAGUCAAGGGAAGUUGUACAGAAAGUAGCUUCAGAUGACACUGGCGGUACGACACAUGUAUCGGUUAAGGGUCAGAAAACAUUUGUCAAACGCGAAAGUGAAAAAGACACAAUAGACUCAAACCAGACUGUCUGUGAGUCUCUGACUCUUCCAGAAGGCAGGAGUGAAACAUUAUUAAAUGUAACUGAUAAAAGUACGGAAAUGGAUGUGAUUAACAAUCGAAGUAAGAUUGAGUCUGAAGACACACCAAUGGAGGUUGAUAGAGAAAAUGUAGAACUAGAAGGUGAAACAGUGUCAAGUAUUGGCAGUUCACAAGACCCGGAGGACACAAGCUGGAGUGGAAUGGCAGACCAAGAGAGUGGGCCUGACAGUGAUGCAGAACUAAGAAUUGAGAUCAGUGAUGUCCGGACUGUCAACUUUGAUGAGGAAGUUGAUCUAGAUUCAAGUGAUCCCCUCGCAAUAAUUGAUCUUGAAAACUCCGGAGGCCUGUCCAGGGGUAACAACUCCCAAGAAGAUUUCACCAGCCCCAUCACAGGAGACGCAUCACAAGCUUUUGAAGAGGAAGGGGAUUCUUCACCACAGAAUGGUGGCAAUAUGGAAGAUGGUGAACGUCAAGCCAGCCCACAUGGCCCCACGGCAGGAGAAGCAUCACAAGUUAAUCAAGAGGAAGGGGAUUCUCCACUACAGAAUGGUGGCAAUAUGGAAGAUGGUGAACGUCAAGCCAGCCCACAUGGCCCCACGGCAGGAGAAGCAUCACAAGUUAAUCCAGAGGAAGGGGACUCUUCACAACAGAAUGGUGGCAAUAUGGAAGAUGGUGAACGUCAAGCCAGCCCACAUAGCUCCAUGGUAGAAGAAGCAUCACAAGUUAAUCCAGAGGAAGAAGACUCUUCACCGAAGCAUGAUGGAAAUAUGGAAGACGGUGAAGAUCAAGCCAGCCCACAUGGCCCCACAGCGGGAGUGAAUGAUAGAUACACACUCUGUGAGAGUUCAGAGAAUGGUCAUGAGGAGAGGCCUAAUUUGACAGAGAGAACUGAGGGAGACUCGUUAGUCACCAAGAACCAGAAUGGUGAGAGCCCCAGCACUGAGACCCAGACCAAAGAAGCUGAUAUCCUGCAUGAUCUAUACCAACAAACGUCCUCUCUACAUGACCCAGAGCUGAACACACUGAAAACAUCAGAUGCUGGGAAAGAAGCAGAUACGGAGUCGGCAGCAACAACAACUCAAGCAAGUACUCUUCUUUCCAACAUCGCUGAAACAGUUCAGAAGAUAAAAUCCGAGCCACAGGACCAGGGGUAUGAAGAUGCUCAGACUUCUGUUCAAGAAGCCCGGGUUGGCAGCUGCAGCAAGACACAGGAUAUGACGGAGCGGUUCCGUCUGCCAGAGAGUAUGUGUAGGACAGAACCAAGUACUGUAUCUCAUACCGUCAUAACACAGCCAGCAUCCCUGAUCACCACGCUGCCAUCUCCGAAAGUCCUGCCUUAUAUGGCCAUGAAGACCAUGGUUACUCCGACACUGCCAAGUCGCGUGAUCAGCACCACAUCUGUGGCACCCAUGUCACAGGCCCUUGUUGCCAAGGGGAUGGAAGGAGCUCAGACCAAAACUGUGGCAUUACUAGUUCCCUUUAGAACACAGGGCAAUGACAGGGGUCCCAUGUUUGCUUCACUUCCCACUGUCUCAAGCAAAGAUACAAGUUCCGCCACUGCCCAUUCGGAGAUUGCAACAAGUGUGACAGUCAGUGUUGCAUCUUUGGAGCCUGUCAUGUCAACAAAUACUCUUGUGUCAAAAAGUGAGGAAGAAGUAGAAAGUUUUGAAAAGCUUGUUUAUGAUAAGUGCAUGCAGCAUGAAGUGAAGUCUAUUGACUUGGGAAAAGUGUCAGAAUUUCUUCAGCGGAGAAAUACCAUGAAGUGUUAUAAGGGGUCAAAACACCCUUCAUUCGCGGACAAGAAACAACAGGGUUGUCUCGAGUGUGGCGACAGCUACGUACUGAAGACAAGUCUGGAUCAUCACAUGACGCGCUGCAGCAUUGUAAUCAAGUACCACUGUGACAAAUGCAAAGGAGAUUUUAAGUUUACGAAUAAAUGUCAGCUCUUGACUCAUCUGAGACUGCAUGUUGAUGCAUCAAGUACAUCUAAGGUUCCCCCACCACUGAAAAUAAACUCUGACAACUUAUCUAUUGUGACCCCGUCUGAAGAGGAUCUUCAAAAGGCAACAGAUAAGUUUAAUGUUCCACCAAAGGACCCUGACAAAGUUAUGGUCCGCUGUUUGGAAUGCAGGCAGGUUUUUGCAAAUGAAAAAAUCCUCAAGAUCCAUUUUGGUGCUAAUGAAUUAGUUUGCUCCUUUGCCUUCCAGUGUCUUGUUUGUUCCAAAAUCCUGCCGAGACUGUGUGCCUUGAAUGCCCACAUGAAGAUCCACUCAAACAUGUCAGAUUAUGUCUGUCCGGAAUGUGGCAAGCCUUUUACAAACAAGAGUAUGUCGUUUGUGAGGCAUCUUAAUGAUGAAUGCUACCACCAAAACAGAAUCUUCCUUCUUCAAUGCCCAGUGUGCAACAUCCAUCUGGAAAGUCUCCCCAAGAUCAAGGAACAUUGUAUGAAAGAGCAUGUAAAGAGCAUUAUCAAAUGCAGUUCAUGCAAUGAAGGGUUCCAAACAGCAGAACUUUUAAAGUUUCAUAUUCAAAAUACCCAUGGCCUUGAAGCUGUUCCUCAGCAGGGCACCAGUAGGACCAUGUGUGGACUGUGCAUGAUCCUGCUCAAGUCAAGUUGUCUGUUGGAGAAGCACAUGGAUCACCACAUGCAGGAGCUGAAGAAGAACGCAAAGUUUGGGUAUCAGUGCAGCGACUGCUACCCGAAGAUGCCCGUUUUUACUUCAAAGCAGCUGCUCAUUCAACACAUGCAAGCAGUUCAUAGAAAACUGCAGACAGUGUCCUGCAACUGCUGUGACCUGAUGUUCAACUGUGUCCUUGCCUUGGAGAAACAUCGUCAGAAGGUACAUCCUGUACAGCCACACUCAGUGGGGCGUCAUGAACACACCAAGGUCACCUACCAGUGUGGAAAAUGUAAAGUGACAAACCCAUCAGCUGCUGCUUUGAAGAAGCAUGAUUGCAAGCCACAGACUCAGUCCAUACCCACGGUGCCCAUCACGGUAGCAAUGUGUGCUAGAUGUAAGUAUAUCAUGGCAAGUGAUUACUCGAAACAUAAGUGCCCAAUGGCUACUAAAAGUCCAGACAAAGCCUCAUCAGAGUCAUCUGUGGGCCUUAAGGGUCCGACCAAACCAUUCCCCGUGCAGCUGAUCACAAUCUCGAAACAGUCCCUCAUGCCUCUAUCAGGGAACACAAUUCGCUUGAAGAAGGUUAAAGACUUCAGUUGCAAGCACUGCAAAAAGUGUUUAGAUUCGGCAGGAGAAUUAGCAGCUCAUCUACAGAGCUGUGAAAGUAAUCUUCCCAUGAAGAGAACUUUCAAGGCAUCUCUGAAAAGUAAAAGCACUCUCAGUAGUUCCCAAUAUGUGUUUUCGUGUAACUUGUGUCAUGCCAAGUUUCCUUCAAAAGACAGGCUAUUAAUCCACAUCCAAGAUCACAGCCACAAUGGUGAUAAGAUGUGUUCGGUCUGCAAGGUGAUGGUCUUCAAGACGGGAGCCCAACUGGAAGGGCAUACUCCGUCUUGUAAGGGGCCUGAUCUUGUAGCUGAUCCAGACACCAAGGUUCAGUGCCGAGUAUGCUGCCAAUUCAUCCAGCGGGUUUACUUGAAGAAUCAUAUCCUCACACACAUUACCAAGGGGAAGAUGAUGUGUCGCCAUUGUCAGAGGAUGCAGUUUCAAAGUCGAGAGGAGUUCAAAUCUCAUGAGUAUGCAUGUGGUUUCACGGACUACCCCUUAGAGCACAAUUACUGCUAUGUCUGUGCGAUGACGUUUGACUACCUCGAACAGCUCGUUGUCCACCUUCAGCAGCAUGUGAAGGAGGGAACACUCGUGUGCUGUAAGUGUCAGAGAUCCAGUUUCACCACGAAGGAGGAGCUGGAGGGUCACCACGAGACGUGCGGACAAGACUACAUGAACAUCCUGCCCGGCGAGAUGUGCAGCCUCUGUCGGUGUUCAUUGCAAUAUCGGCCAACAAGCUACUUGCACCGCCACAUAACGCAGCAUGUUACAAAAGGAGCUCUCAUUUGCUGCCGGUGUCAGAAGAUGGGAUGGGAGAGCUUUGGUGAAGUGAAAUCCCAUCAAAUAGGCUGUGGAAUGUUCACGGAGAACACAGCACUGCCGUUCCACCAACAAGACAGGAAGUGUGUGUGCACCAUCUGCAACAGGGACUGCAGCAACAUGAACGCUUUAAUAGCUCACCUGAAACAGCAUGUAGCUAAUGGACAGCUUAUUUGUACAAAAUGUCAGAAAAGGGGUUGGAAGAAUGCAUCCACGUUGAUGAACCAUGAAGUAACCUGUGGCGUCACUCUUGCUAAGUCAGUCAAAGCUGGUUACAAGACAAUGGAUCAUGUGUGUGAGCACUGUGGUAAGAUGUUCCGCAAGUUUAACCUCCUGACAGAACAUGUGAAGAAGGAACAUGUCAGUUUUCCGUGCCACCUCUGUGGUCUGUCAUAUGACACCAAAUCAGCCCUGGUGAGUCACGUCGGUGUGGUUCAUGACGGUAAACGGUCUCUUUUCUCUUGUAAUAUAUGUAAAGAGAAGAAAAUUGAAAAGAGUUUUGCAAGUCAGUCAGGUUUAGAGAAACACAUGAGGAAAAUGCACAAACACCAUCGUCGUCGCUCUGAUAGCUCUGACAUCAGUAAUACAGAAAGGCACAGCUCUGAUACUUCAUCCAAGCCAUCGUCCCCCCCACCUGUGAAGCGACUUCGAGUUGAGGGGGACUUGCAUUAUACUUGUGCCAAAUGUCCUGUCGUCACGGAGGAUGCUGUUCACUUUGCUGAACACAUCAAGGAGCACAACUCUGACAACGCCAACCAGUGUCCUGACUGUGGCCUCUGUUUCGCAAUCCUGGCCACUCUCAAGAAGCACCUGUUCCUUGUCCACAAGAUCCGAGACUCGUACAAGUACUUGCAAGACAGGGGCAUGAAGACAGAAGAGGAGGAAAUAAUUUCUGACUCGGAGGAACUGUCCCCACCACCAAUAAAGAAAUCCAGAUGGACGAACCAUUCUAUGGCGACAAGGAAGUCUGACAAUCCACUUGAAUGUACUGUAUGUUCAACAACGUUUGAUACUGACAAGCAGUUGAAGACACACAUGAGAAUACAUGGCAUGGCAUUCAUUUGCUCCAACAAGAGAGCUGGUUCCGUAAAGUCUAGUCCCAGUGGAGAUGCAUCGCCAAAAGUGGCCCUAUCGCCAGCCAAGUCAUCAAUAAGUUCAAGUUCUGACAGAAAGAUUUCCAAUAAUGCUGGGAGCCAGGAUGUGAAGAAGAAGACAGAGACUGAUUCGGAGACCUUGGCAGACACUCCACUGCCUGAGGACACACAGCAGACACAGAGGCUUGUCAAGGUCAAACAGGAACCCAUGGAUUACGAUUGACGCGACAGACACAUCUUCAGCCUCAUCCCUCAGUCAUGAUGCUGUUGUGCUAGGUGACCUUCAGCUGAUGUUUUGUUAUCACUGAGCAUAUCUUUGGUUGUUGUAGAAUCUUGAUUUGAAUUAUCUCUCUGUGGAGGCCAGUCAGCCUGCUCUUUUGAUUAUGGCUCUCCAUCUAUGGAUGGAACAAUUCACUGAUGGGAUGAUAUGUAAUGAUGGUAGGAGCGUUGCUUUGUCAUGCUAAAGGCCAAGGUUUGGUUCCCCAUCUGAUGUGUGAAGCCCAUUUCCCGUGUUGUUAUGAAACCUAAUCGCUUAGCAAGCAACUGUUUGUGUCAAGAGACAUUUCAGCAUUGAUACCAGUAUGUUUAUCAAGGAUACAUGCUUGUUGUAUUGUCUUGAGGGAUAUAAUACCGUUCUUUUUUUGUUUUGGCUAGCGCGUUCUUGAAAAUGCACUGUACUUUUUGUGUUUGUUUUUUUAUAUAUAUAGUUAGUACCUGUCCUAUAAGAAAGCUUCCUCAGCUGUUUCAGCCCAUAGGAGGACAGUAUGACAUAGUGGUUUCAGGAAGACUUCACCCCAUUUGAGGGUAAUCACAUCCUCGCAGUGUGUAUCUCCAUUGUUAUGAUAUGUACCCUGGACCCACCUUAGCUUUGUUUUGAAGCCAUGUUCAAAAUAGCUGCCUACUUUCAAGCCAAAUGCCAGAGACGUUUAAAUUGGGCUAGUGACAUUUCUGUAAAGAUUGACAGACUGUCUAAGCGUCAUAUAACGUCAAAGUCUGUUGUCAUCUUUUCCAGCUGAAAUAUCUUUAUUACGAUCUUGUGAUUCCUCUAAAUACAUCUCGUUACUAAGAUGAGGCUGCAAUUUUGAAUGUAGAUCUAUCCAGAACUCCUGUUCAGAAUAGGCAUUUGGAUUAGUUGUUAACUGAUUUCAAGCUAGGGAAAUUGUGUGCUCUGUUAGUGAUAUGGGAGCUGGAGCUGGUGACAUCACGUUCAACAUGAAGCUCUGGUGGUGUGUGGGUCCAGGGUAUACAUCACUGGAUGAACGAGGAUGGGUAGCCCGAGCUGAACAACCAGCUGUUCUUGGGUGUCACGGUUCCUUCUCUAUGGGACCAGGGCUACCGUUUUCAAUAAUGUUUACUUUAUAUUCCUCUUCUACACCGUCACUUUCGGUAAGAAAUCAGUAAUUUAUACAAGGAAAUAUGAACUGUCAUGCAAAUGUUCGGUCUCAGUAGGGGCGCAAAGACUAUACUUACAAAUUGGUUUAGAAGUUGGUCAGGGUGCUUAUUUAUAGCAGUGCGUUUAAUACAGCAAAUACGGUACAUGUUUUGUCCCUACUUCUGUAAUUGGGCAACUGGGGGAAUACCAGGGCAGAACAGUCUCCAGUCUCCAUUGCUUGAGCUGGGGGCAUGUAUGACCUAGCUGAUGAGUCGUCAUACUCCAGCAAGGAAUAGCGGUCUUGCUAUUAAUCGGUGCCUUUCCUGGCCCAGACUCAACUAUUUACAGUCCGGGUGAUACAGCUGGAAUAUUGCUGACUGGUGGAAAACUUGCACCAACUUUAUGAUGCAGCACUGUUGACUGUUCAGUGUAUGUGUGAUCUAGUCAUGAGAAAUUAAAUAAUAUGAAUGUUGACAUAACUUGGAAAAUGAAGUCUUCAAAUCUACUUCCUGCUGCUAUUUUUGAAUAUCCAAGAUAUUUGUGCUCAUUGAUAUGCAUGUAUAACAUUGCCAAGGUUUCAGUCAUAUAUUUUGAGGUUAUGGAUAUAGUGUACAGUUUGUGAAACCAACAUGUAUCCUGUCGGCUUUCUCACCAUUGCCAAAGUGGUCAGAGUGUGCAGGGCUGGGACGAGUCCAAAUUUACUACCCCGAUACCUGACCCCCUUUUGCCAGACCCCCUUUUGCCAGACCCUUCCGUGGUACCUGCUGUAGGUCUCAAGAGUUGGGUAGAAAAUGUCCAACUGAAAUUGUUUCACCGGAGCCCUGUAAAACAAAAUUUAGAUGCAUGUUAAAAACGAUCUGAUCAUGCAUACACAAGAGUUGACAGAAGCUUUAUCUUUACUCAAAAAUAACGAAGUUAGAAGUAAUGCAUGCAACUUUAGAGUAACCCUGCAGUUUUAUUGUUUUUUUGUCAUUAGACAAUAUAUCACAUGACUAACCACAGGUCCAGGACUUCAGGUACUCCAGUGGGUACCCGGGUCCUACUCAGGACCCACUUGACCCGAGUUCCAGAGUUACUCGUGCCAGCCCUAGUCUGCUCACAUGUUCAAUUACAGGGAGGCUGAUUGUUAUUCUUGGUCUGCUUACGGAAAGUUUUGUUCUGCGGAUUAUUUUUCAUUUGAUUUAUAGUGACUUUUUGGUCUACAUGAAGAUUGUUGGUCAAGAGAUCCUUUUCAUUGUAUUUAUGAUGAAAGGCAAAGAUUUACAGGGUCCCCAGAAAAAGGCACCACUAAUCCCCAGAAACUCAGAAACCACCUUAAUUUCAACAGGAAAUUGAUGGGAUAAGAGAUUAUUGUCCCCUGCCAUGAAGGGGAAGUGGGAUUUAGGAAUGGGUGCUGUCCGUCACAUUUUGUUUCCGGGGCAGAACUCACGACCCAUAAGAGAUACCUUGAGCAAACUUGGCACAUAGAUAGGUCUAGUGGUGAACUAGUGCCUUUUGAUAGUUUGGGAUUUUUUAAACAUUUAUCUUCCGAGGUUCCAUGGCAAAGACUUUGAUUUGGACUGAAUAUAGCGGUAUUGGCAGGGGGAUACAAGUAUUUCAUGCUUGUUUUGUUUUGACGAAAGUGCUCAGAUAAGCUUUAUGGCCUAAAGUGGUCAGUCUGCAUGUUUUCAUGUCCUUUUAUAUCUAGAAUAAAUUUGAUUGUAAAUUAAUUCAUUUACUUGGAAUAUUGAUAUUGCAGACUUGUGAAUAGCUUGAAUAAAGUGUGCAACACUG